CUACUUUUUGCUUCUCUAUUCGAUCUACAUGUUAAAGAGACAUUUAUCUUGUUCCAUCUUUCAUGAUGGAUGAAGUAGCCAAGGAGAGAGAGAGAGAGAAUCAUCAUGACACGUACAUUAACAACUUCUAUCAUCAGGUUUUCACGUUCACGAGAAAUUACAUAAAACUUAAAAAUGGCUCCGAAAGGAACAAUAAGUGACCUUGUGGAAGAAAAGAAAGAGGAAAAAAGGAAGCAACAAUUUUAGGAAGAAAUGAUGAUGAGAAGAAAUGAGAGAAUUAGAAUGAUUGGAGAAAAGAAGGAAGAAGAAAAUUGAAUGUAAAAGGAAGAGUGAGAUGAGAAUAAGAAAAAGAUGAAGAUGAAUGCGAAAAACGAAAGAUAAAAAUGAUGUCAGAAUAAAAAGAAAACCAAACAAUCACCUUGACCUACUCUUUUCUUUCUUCUCUUUCUAAUCAAACUGUUUCUCUUUCUCUUUUCUCUUUCUCGUCUCUCUCAUUCUCUAAUCAGCUGAGUUUAUUUUCCAAUUUCUUUCUGAUCCUCUGAUGUUCAUCGGGCUUUUUUCUCCUUUUAAUUUUCUUCCUCAUUGUUAAUUGUGAUUCUUUUUUCAAGAGAAACAAAAAAUUUCCGAUUCUUUGUUGUUCCAAACACAACAAUCGCAGUGACACUUUCUUCAUGAUGGUUACGCGAUUAACUAUUGACAAUUCUAAACUGUUUUUCUACUCAUGAAAAGCUUUUUUUUGCUCCACCAUCAACCCAGGAAAUGAUUGGGUGGAGAUGCUGUUGGAGGAGGGAAACGUUUCUCAAUCAAACCGGUGUAUGAAUCUCGUUCGGGUACUUGAGAGGAUAAUUUGUUUCUCCUUCACCUUCACCCUGAUAAAUAAGCGCCAUUCUCAUUCAUGUUGGAUUGAUCAUCAUCACCAUCGAGUCUUUACCACCGCCUACUUUAUUAUUCUUCACUUUUUCCAGGUUAACUCACAAGUAAACAAAACGGUUAUUUUUGUGCUUUCUAUUUACCUGGUAUUUUAAUUCUUGGAGCCAUAAAUUUAAUGCUUCAAGCCAAAUUCUAGCUACAUUUCUAUAUCCGGUUGCUUGUUAGUCGUCUAUUUAUAUGCUGAUUUUUACCGAAGAUACAACAAAAUGGCGACCGUUUUAAAGAAAAAGAAAAUCUUACCUGGUGAUUUGAAGAGAGAAAAAAGAACAGCAAAUUCACCAGAAGCGAUUGUUCUUCAUGUUGUCAAUCUUUUUGUAUCUUUUUUUUUGAUGUUCCAACUGUUGAACAACAACGAUAACAAUCAGAUCUCUGAUGGAAUGGCUUUUACAACAUGAUCGAUAAACUGACCAUCGCAUUUGAAGCUAAGGAUAACCAGUCUGGUCAAUUUGAAAUUGUGAUAAAAGCAAAAUAUUGUGAAGAGGAAGAAAUAACCAGAAAAAGAAAAAAUUUUAACAAAAACGACACAAGAAAAAAA
Long non-coding RNA from Panonychus citri (citrus red mite), 1465 nucleotides. RefSeq lists it as uncharacterized. Lineage: Eukaryota; Metazoa; Arthropoda; Arachnida; Trombidiformes; Tetranychidae. The transcript is spliced from 3 exons. The record is from RefSeq and is a predicted model, not a curated record.